AGCAAAAAGACCUAAAAUUAGGGUUUUUCGGCGAAAUUACACAUAUGGCGUUGCACAUGGCGGCCGCUAUAGGAGAAGCCAUGAGUCAUCAGCCCUCAACUAGGAGGUAACCGACACAUUCCCAUGAUCCACCCCAUUUACACACAUGGCGGGCGCCAUGAAGGGAUGGCAGGCGCCAUCUUUGGAAGUCACGUUCCCACUAAGGGGAAG
Molecule: long non-coding RNA, 210 nt
Filed under: Lathyrus oleraceus (garden pea)
Lineage: Eukaryota; Viridiplantae; Streptophyta; Magnoliopsida; Fabales; Fabaceae
Description: Pisum sativum (pea) long non-coding RNA (PSAT_LNC026919)
Source: RNAcentral